RNAcentral lists this unclassified non-coding RNA (337 nucleotides) under soil metagenome. RNAcentral's name for it is "partial contains 5.8S ribosomal RNA, internal transcribed spacer 2, and large subunit ribosomal RNA". The stretch from base 1 to 120 matches the Rfam family "5.8S ribosomal RNA", at positions 35 to 154 of the family's 154-position model. The record is from RNAcentral.
GAUGAAGAACGUAGCGAAAUGCGAUAAGUAGUGUGAAUUGCAGAAUUCAGUGAAUCAUCGAAUCUUUGAACGCACAUUGCGCCCCGUGGUAUUGCAUGGGGCAUGCCUGUUCGAGCGUCAUUUGUACCUUCAAGCUCUGCUUGGUGUUGGGUGUUUGUCUCGCCUCUGCGUGUAGACUCGCCUCAAAACAAUUGGCAGCCGGCGUAUUGAUUUCGGAGCGCAGUACAUCUCGCGCUUUGCACUCAUAACGACGACGUCCAAAAGUACAUUUUUACACUCUUGACCUCGGAUCAGGUAGGGAUACCCGCUGAACUUAAGCAUAUCAAUAAGCGGAGGA